CGUAGGUGCGAGCGUUGUCCGGAAUUAUUGGGCGUAAAGAGCUUGUAGGCGGUUUGUCGCGUCUGCUGUGAAAAUUCAGGGCUUAACCCUGGACGUGCAGUGGGUACGGGCAGACUAGAGUGUGGUAGGGGAGACUGGAAUUCCUGGUGUAGCGGUGGAAUGCGCAGAUAUCAGGAGGAACACCGAUGGCGAAGGCAGGUCUCUGGGCCAUUACUGACGCUGAGAAGCGAAAGCAUGGGGAGCGAACAGGAUU
RNAcentral lists this ribosomal RNA (253 nucleotides) under uncultured bacterium. RNAcentral describes it as "partial 16S ribosomal RNA". It matches the Rfam family "Bacterial small subunit ribosomal RNA", at positions 526 to 779 of the family's 1533-position model. The record is from RNAcentral.